This is a non-coding RNA of Pelobates cultripes (western spadefoot toad), 949 nucleotides long. The record is from the annotation of a GenBank genome assembly. NCBI's taxonomy places the organism in Eukaryota, Metazoa, Chordata, Amphibia, Anura, Pelobatidae.
AUUCAGCCAAGAAGGGUACGUAUAGUUUUUAAGUAUGUACAGGGAUAAUAUUAAUCAGCUCAUUAGUACUGAAGAACAGAAGACUUAUACAGCCCUACACAGUCUGUGACCUUGAGGUUUGAACUAAUUCUAAAAAGACAUUAACCACUGACAUUUGUCAGCAACCCAUGUAGAUGUGCUAAAAAUUAAAUCAGAAUCUUUGGUAUUUACCAGGGUUGCUCAAUACUGGCCAUCCAAAAGUUCUUUAAGCUACUAGAACUAAGUGUUGCCUGUAGAUGGCUGAACUUAUGGGAGUUUUAGUCCAACAACAUCUGGGAGAUUAAGAUUUAACAUCCUGGUUUACACCAUUAAAUCACUUAGGCAUUCUUACUUUGUUCCCUUUAUAGAGAAAUUUGGCACAUAGCUAGAUCUACACAGUGGACUAAUUAUUUUGCUUAACUAAAGAUUGAAAGCAUUCAGGGUCCUCUUCUUCUUUGAGCUUGACUUGGAAAAAUCCCAAGCUCUGAAACAAGGAAAGAUGAUGCAGGAGCAGGAAAUGAUGAUUAGUGAUGGCAGCAUUGCGAAGAUGUUAAAGUUUGUAUUGGAUAAUUAGAAGAAAGUCAGGAAAUAAUCAUCUAUCAGAGUUCCAAUUAAGACUGUAACAAAAUCCAGCAGGCUACUGCUAACUGAAAGCUUUUUUAAUCCUUUCCCACUGUAAAGACUGGUAAAUAUGCCAAGAAAUGUCUAGUGACACAAAUAAAAAGAAAAAUACAAUCUUGUUUAAAGAAUGUUUUAUGUACAUUUUACGUGACAAGGCCUGAUAAAAUCCUGCAUUUACUUGGAAAUGCUAGAUAUUUGCAUUUUAACAAUGUAAUGUAUAGUUCUAAUUGUAGUCUGUUUACUAAACAGUGACAUAUGGUGUAUUAAGAGCCAAGAACAACAUUUAAGCAACAGUAACAUAGUAACAGCC